GACGAACGCUGGCGGCGUGCUUAACACAUGCAAGUCGAACGGAAAGGCCCUGCUUUUGUGGGAUGCUCGAGUGGCGAACGGGUGAGUAACACGUGAGUAACCUGCCCUUGACUUUGGGAUAACUUCAGGAAACUGGGGCUAAUACCGGAUAGGAGCUCCUGCUGCAUGGUGGGGGUUGGAAAGUUUCGGCGGUUGGGGACGGACUCGCGGCUUAUCAGCUUGUUGGGGGGGUAGUGGCUUACCAAGGCUUUGACGGGUAGCCGGCCUGAGAGGGUGACCGGCCACAUUGGGACUGAGAUACGGCCCAGACUCCUACGGGAGGCAGCAGUGGGGAAUAUUGCACAAUGGGCGGAAGCCUGAUGCAGCAACGCCGCGUGCGGGAUGACGGCCUUCGGGUUGUAAACCGCUUUCGCCUGUGACGAAGCGUGAGUGACGGUAAUGGGUAAAGAAGCACCGGCUAACUACGUGCCAGCCGCCGCCGUAA
RNAcentral lists this ribosomal RNA (484 nucleotides) under uncultured bacterium. Its description in RNAcentral is "partial 16S ribosomal RNA". It matches the Rfam family "Bacterial small subunit ribosomal RNA", at positions 28 to 523 of the family's 1533-position model. The record is from RNAcentral.